UUCCAUGAAUCCGAAACAGAACCUAUUCAAGAAAAAGACUCUCAUCAGCCUUGAAAUCUUUUAACUUCUAAGGCAAGAAAGUUCACAAACUUAGAUCUUACUUACAUUUUACAGAGAUGGGAGCAGCAACCUUCCUGGUGAGGAACUUGCCGGAGCUUCUCUUGGGGCAAGAAUAGAUUCUGGCUUUGGUGAACGGGACAAUAUCUUUAACACCAGAGAUUGAUCUUGAGUUGACUUCACUACUUAAUGACGUCCAUUUACAUGACAACAUUGCAAAAUUGAUCAUCAGUUGUCAAUGUCAUCACUCAUCAGCCUUAUACAAGUCAAGUUCUACGGAUCGCCUAACCAUAAGGAACUUCCUGAUUGAUUAGAAGAGCCUGUUUUGGGGACUAAGAAUCUGGAGGUAGUAUUCCAAGAUCAAGUCCAUCUCAAGAUUAAUUAAUUAUGCAGUGUAUACUUCACCCAAACUCGUUGAGGCUUUUUCAAGAUCAAGUCCAACGCUCUUCUCGUCUUAUUCUAAUGAAGCUUUUUCAAAUGUUUUUGCUUAGCACUACUCACUUAUGAAUGUUUACAUAGAGGGCGGUUACAAUCUAUCUUUACUUUUACAAAAUCAUUGCUUCCAUAGAUCUGCGAUUGGCCUAUACUUAUCUUGGUUUUAUUCACAACCA
This is a long non-coding RNA of Brassica napus (rape), 668 nucleotides long. RefSeq lists it as uncharacterized. Lineage: Eukaryota; Viridiplantae; Streptophyta; Magnoliopsida; Brassicales; Brassicaceae. The record is from RefSeq and is a predicted model, not a curated record. The transcript is spliced from 3 exons.